GAUGAACGCUGGCGGCGUGCUUAACACAUGCAAGUCGAACGGGAAACCUUUUAUUGAAGCUUCGGCAGAUUUAGCUGGUUUCUAGUGGCGGACGGGUGAGUAACGCGUGGGUAACCUGCCUUAUACAGGGGGAUAACAACCAGAAAUGGUUGCUAAUACCGCAUAAGCGCACAGGACCGCAUGGUCCGGUGUGAAAAACUCCGGUGGUAUAAGAUGGACCCGCGUUGGAUUAGCUAGUUGGCAGGGUAACGGCCUACCAAGGCGAUGAUCCAUAGCCGGCCUGAGAGGGUGAACGGCCACAUUGGGACUGAGACACGGCCCAGACUCCUACGGGAGGCAGCAGUGGGGAAUAUUGCACAAUGGGGGAAACCCUGAUGCAGCGACGCCGCGUGAAGGAAGAAGUAUCUCGGUAUGUAAACUUCUAUCAGCAGGGAAGAUAGUGACGGUACCUGACGAAGAAGCCCCGGCUAACUACGUG
RNAcentral lists this ribosomal RNA (478 nucleotides) under uncultured bacterium. RNAcentral describes it as "partial 16S ribosomal RNA". It matches the Rfam family "Bacterial small subunit ribosomal RNA", at positions 28 to 507 of the family's 1533-position model. The record is from RNAcentral.